GAGACGGCUACCACAUCUAAGGAAGGCAGCAGGCGCGCAAAUUACCCAAUCCAAAUGACACAGGGAGGUAGUGACAAGAAAUAACAAUACAGGGCAAUUGUCUUGUAAUUGGAAUGAUGGUGACGUAACCCCAAUCUCACCAGAGUAACAAUUGGAGGGCAAGUCUGGUGCCAGCAGCCGCGGUAAUUCCAGCUCCAAUAGCGUAUUUUUAUUAAACUUGUUGCAGUUAAAAAGCUCGUAGUUGAAUUUCUGCGUUGCCCGACUCGGCUACUUGCCUUGUCUGGGGGUUUCGCUUUUGGGGUUUUCCCCUUUUUACUUUGAGAAAAUUAGAGUGUUUCAAGCAGACUUGUGUCUUGAAUAACCCUACUUCGGCAUGGAAUAAUAAAGUAGGACUUUGGUUCUAUUUUGUUGGUUUGUGAACCUUAGUAAUGGUUAAUAGGCCGGAACGGUUGGGCCCUUAG
RNAcentral lists this ribosomal RNA (461 nucleotides) under Babesia gibsoni. RNAcentral's name for it is "SSU rRNA". It matches the Rfam family "Eukaryotic small subunit ribosomal RNA", at positions 400 to 897 of the family's 1831-position model. The record is from RNAcentral. Lineage: Eukaryota; Apicomplexa; Aconoidasida; Piroplasmida; Babesiidae.